This 233-nucleotide ribosomal RNA is filed under the name uncultured bacterium. Its description in RNAcentral is "partial 16S ribosomal RNA". It matches the Rfam family "Bacterial small subunit ribosomal RNA", at positions 337 to 587 of the family's 1533-position model. The record is from RNAcentral.
GCCUACGGGGGGCAGCAGUGGGGAAUAUUGCACAAUGGGGGAAACCCUGAUGCAGCGACGCCGCGUGAGUGAAGAAGUAUUUCGGUAUGUAAAGCUCUAUCAGCAGGGAAGAUAAUGACGGUACCUGACUAAGAAGCCCCGGCUAACUACGUGCCAGCAGCCGCGGUAAUACGUAGGGGGCAAGCGUUGUCCGGAAUUACUGGGUGUAAAGGGAGUGUAGGCGGGGAAGCAAG